GUCCUUUUGAAUUUUUAUUUAAGGUCUAGUCUGCCCACUGAAUUUAUAUUUUAAAUGGCCGCAGUAUUUUGACUGUGCAAAGGUAGCAUAAUCAUUAGUUUUUUAAUUAAAAGCUUGUAUGAAAGGCUGGACGAGGUAAAAUCUGUCUCUAUUUAAAUUAUAAUAGAAUUUAACUUUUAAGUUAAAAGGCUUAAAUAUUAUUAAAAGACGAGAAGACCCUAUAGAUCUUUAUAAUUUGUUAAAUAAAAUUUAUUUAGAAUUAUUUAUGUUUUAUUUAAUUGAAUUAUUUUAUUGGGGUAAUGGAAAGAUUGAAUUAAUUCUUUUUUAUAAUAAACAUUAAUUUAUGAAUAUUAGAUGAUCCAGUUUUACUGAUUAUAAGAUUAAGUUACCUUAGGGAUAACAGCGUAAUUUUUUUAGAGAGUUCAUAUCGAUAAAAAAGUUUGCGACCUCGAUGUUGGAUUAAAGAUUAUUUUAGGUGCAGAAGCUUAAUAAU
This 493-nucleotide ribosomal RNA is filed under the name Carabus auronitens festivus. Its description in RNAcentral is "partial 16S ribosomal RNA". Lineage: Eukaryota; Metazoa; Arthropoda; Insecta; Coleoptera; Carabidae. The record is from RNAcentral.